AUUGAUGAGUUGGUGCUCGAUCUGAGAAACAGUGGAGAGCCGCUCUCCACAUUUAACCAUCCCCAAAUGGUGCCAGUCGUCUAAAGACAUGCCUGAACAAGUGACAGUGUUUGACAGACCUUAUAUCUCCUUUCUAUCACACCAAAAUCUCUGUAGUGAGCUCAGGCAAUGUUUUGACCUGCUGGUGUGCUGAUGCACUUCAGGAUAAAAAGAAUUGGUCCACAUUGUAGCAAUAACUUCCAGGAAGAAACGAGUGGAUUGGACCAGAUUAUCUCUACAAUUUCUUCCAGUGCAAACACUCUGUGAAUGAAGGCACUUGCCUUCUCUCUAAACUGGAAGCCUCUUGAGGGCAGGACUGCAUCUACCUCCUCUCUGUACCCCUGCAGCACCCAGUACAGUGCCCAGCAAUGGACUGGAACCAAACCAGCAGAGCAAAACCAGGUCUUCAUUCUAAUAAUUUCAAGGAAUGCCAGAGCUAACCUGAUGUUCACAAGAGAGCACUUACUGUAAAAAUAAUUUAGCCA
Homo sapiens (human) is the source of this 524-nucleotide long non-coding RNA. RefSeq annotates it as LIMCH1 antisense RNA 1. The record is from RefSeq and is a predicted model, not a curated record. The transcript has 3 exons. NCBI's taxonomy places the organism in Eukaryota, Metazoa, Chordata, Mammalia, Primates, Hominidae.